ACUCUCCACCUCCACCACCUGUUUACUCUCCGCCUCCACCACCGCCUUCACCUCCACCACCAGUAUAUUCACCACCUCCUCCGCCUUCACCUCCCCCGCCUGUUUAUUCUCCACCUCCGCCUCCACCUUCACCACCACCGCCAGUGUACUCACCUCCUCCACCACCUCCUUCUCCCCCGCCACCUUCACCACCACCACCUCCUCCACCAGUUUACUCUCCACCACCACCCCCACCUUCUCCACCUCCACCUUCACCUCCUCCACCAUCGCCUCCUCCUCCAUCUCCACCACCGCCCUCACCAUUGCCUCCCUGUGUCCGUCUCCCACCACCUCCACCACCAAAUUCUCCACCGCCUCCACCACCAAAUUCUCCACCACCUCCAAUAUUUUCUCCACCACCGCCAACUCCUUACUAUUACAGCUCUCCACCGCCACCCUCACCACCACAUUCGCCACCCCCAC
Molecule: long non-coding RNA, 462 nt
Filed under: Jatropha curcas
Lineage: Eukaryota; Viridiplantae; Streptophyta; Magnoliopsida; Malpighiales; Euphorbiaceae
Description: long non-coding RNA (JCUR_LNC002018)
Source: RNAcentral